AGUCGAGCGGUAGAGAGGUGCUUGCACCUCUUGAGAGCGGCGGACGGGUGAGUAAAGCCUAGGAAUCUGCCUGGUAGUGGGGGAUAACGCUCGGAAACGGACGCUAAUACCGCAUACGUCCUACGGGAGAAAGCAGGGGACCUUCGGGCCUUGCGCUAUCAGAUGAGCCUAGGUCGGAUUAGCUAGUUGGUGAGGUAAUGGCUCACCAAGGCGACGAUCCGUAACUGGUCUGAGAGGAUGAUCAGUCACACUGGAACUGAGACACGGUCCAGACUCCUACGGGAGGCAGCAGUGGGGAAUAUUGGACAAUGGGCGAAAGCCUGAUCCAGCCAUGCCGCGUGUGUGAAGAAGGUCCUCGGAUUGUAAAGCACUUUAAGUUGGGAGGAAGGGCAUUAACCUAAUACGUUAGUGUUUUGACGUUACCGACAGAAUAAGCACCGGCUAACUCUGUGCCAGCAGCCGCGGUAAUACAGAGGGUGCAAGCGUUAAUCGGAAUUACUGGGCGUAAAGCGCGCGUAGGUGGUUCGUUAAGUUGGAUGUGAAAUCCCCGGGCUCAACCUGGGAACUGCAUUCAAAACUGUCGAGCUAGAGUAUGGUAGAGGGUGGUGGAAUUUCCUGUGUAGCGGUGAAAUGCGUAGAUAUAGGAA
This 647-nucleotide ribosomal RNA is filed under the name uncultured bacterium. Its description in RNAcentral is "bacterial SSU rRNA". It matches the Rfam family "Bacterial small subunit ribosomal RNA", at positions 60 to 702 of the family's 1533-position model. The record is from RNAcentral.